CGCCAUCGCGAGUGCGUGAGUCCCUGUCAGAAAUUUGUUGCGCCGCCCUUGGGCGCAAAAAACGGUGAAACCUCACGUACAAAACCAUAGGGCAGCAUACGAUGCGAUCGCGCGACCCUGCCCGUUAGCAAUCUCCCAACUCAUCUCUGGCGUUAGUGACUAGAAUGAUGUCUUUCCAUUCUGUGCUGUGAAUUGAGUCAUGAGUAUCAUCUAUUGAUUCGAUGACAUCCGUUUCAGGACUAGCAAGUGAGAAGAGAUAUUUAUAAUGUCCCAGAAGUGGUUUCCAGAGAUGUCGAAUGGAUUGCGUAACCCUAAUGUCAAAUGUGGCUACGUCGGAGGACUUCGACUCUUCAACUAAUUGGACUUCGCAUGGAGAAUUGUAAGACGCCUUGUAGAGUGGGUAAUUCUCUUUAAAAAUGUCUAGCGGUGUUGGAAAUUCUAUCGAUGGGUUAUUUUCUGCAAUUUCUCUAACAGUUUUCAAGAAAUGAGCCAUAGUAAAUAAAUAAGGGUGGAUUAGACCUCGUUUGGCAAAUAAUAUUCCAUCGAUCCGGCUUGAGAGCAAGUCCAAGUGGGAGCUGAAUGUACAGUUGUCUGGAGGAAGCCUGCAUUUAGCCCUGGCUCUGGCCCUGGAAUUUUGGAGCCUUUCCUUGGCAUCUUGGAUUUCGGGAAGAUCGACGUAAUGCAGAAUUUGGCAGAUUCCCAUAGUGAAUGUCUAUAAUUUGAAAGGGUCCGGUGUACUCGUCGUCGAGCUUAGAUUUUCGGUUCCCUUUUAAAAGGUUAUGAGAUGCGUGGUCACCCAAUUCUUGCAAGGAGAGCGCUGGUAAAAUUGGUGCCUUGGUCGGUCAGUGUCGCCUUUGGACCCCAGGUCCUGACUGGCCACGGCGCCUUCAAAAAGAGGCUUCAUUUCCAUGCCCUCGUCGACUCCGACAGAUGCGAAUGUGGUGCGCUGGGCACUCCUGAGCACCUCCUCUUUGAGUGUCCCGAGCAUCGGGAGCUUAGAGAUGUCUUUAGGGAGGACUUGGGGCGCCUUGGCCUCCAAUGGCCCCCUCCGCUGAGGGCCCUCGUAAGUGAGGAAACAUUCGACAGCCUGGAAAGAUAUCGGAUGCGGUUGGCGGACGUCGGCCAAAGAAGGUGGUCAAACAGGUGAAAACAGGAGACUCGCAGCACCAAAUGGAUCCAGGGAAAAGUUGUAAAUGGCGGCUGCUGUCCUUGGGUGUUGAAGAUGUGGAGAAAUUCAGGGGUCCCACCGCUGUCACCAAGAAUCUUGUAACGUCCCGAGCGGCAGGAACGUUUAAGUCGUGGGAAUUCCGCCGAUAAAGGUGGAAAACCCCCUUUCUCACGUCUUCGGGUCGCGUCGAAUGUUAUUUUAGAGUCACUUAAGAGUUUUGAUAUUGAAUUAAUAUUGUCGCACAAGUCUUUAGAGUUCGUAGUAAAUGGACACAAUGUCGGAACUGUUCACUA
This is a long non-coding RNA of Orussus abietinus, 1461 nucleotides long. RefSeq lists it as uncharacterized. The transcript has 9 exons. The record is from RefSeq and is a predicted model, not a curated record. Lineage: Eukaryota; Metazoa; Arthropoda; Insecta; Hymenoptera; Orussidae.